RNAcentral lists this ribosomal RNA (401 nucleotides) under uncultured bacterium. RNAcentral's name for it is "bacterial SSU rRNA". It matches the Rfam family "Bacterial small subunit ribosomal RNA", at positions 359 to 775 of the family's 1533-position model. The record is from RNAcentral.
GAAUUUUCCGCAAUGGGCGAAAGCCUGACGGAGCAAUGCCGCGUGGAGGUGGAAGGCCUACGUGUCGUCAACUUCUUUUCUCGGAGAAGAAACAAUGACGGUAUCUGAGGAAUAAGCAACGGCUAACUCUGUGCCAGCAGCCGCGGUAAGACAGAGGAUGCAAGCGUUAUCCGGAAUGAUUGGGCGUAAAGCGUCUGCAGGUGGCUUUUAAAGUCAGGCGUCAAAUCCCAGGGCUCAACCCUGGACAGGCGGUGGAAACUACCAAGCUGGAGUACGGUAGGAGCAGAGGGAAUUUCCGGUGGAGCGGUGAAAUGCAUUGAGAUCGGAAAGAACACCAACGGCGAAAGCACUCUGCUGGGCCGACACUGACACUGAGAGACGAAAGCUAGGGGAGCAAAUGG